GCAACUCCAGUGUUCUAAACCAUUGCACCAGCUUCGGAUUCCUCAAAUUCAACUGACUUUCAAUGCGCUCUCCAAGAAAGUCGGUAAUUGGGGAUAAAAUUUCAUGAACAGAAGAAACAUUGUUGCUGCGUUUGCGAGAAAGAAACACUUCCACUUCUAUUGCUGCUUUGAACAAAGCAUAAAUUGCUACCUGAUAUGCGAUGCUUUUAUGCCAGGCAUGCACAUCCACCCCAACCCAUGCCAUUGCAAGC
Molecule: unclassified non-coding RNA, 251 nt
Filed under: Hevea brasiliensis (rubber tree)
Lineage: Eukaryota; Viridiplantae; Streptophyta; Magnoliopsida; Malpighiales; Euphorbiaceae
Source: RNAcentral